Molecule: ribosomal RNA, 269 nt
Filed under: uncultured bacterium
Lineage: Bacteria
Description: partial 16S ribosomal RNA
Rfam family: Bacterial small subunit ribosomal RNA
Source: RNAcentral
CGUAAACAAAGGGAAGCGAGGCUGUGAAGCGGAGCAAAUCCCAAAAAUAACGUCCCAGUUCGGACUGUAGUCUGCAACCCGACUACACGAAGCUGGAAUCGCUAGUAAUCGCGGAUCAGCAUGCCGCGGUGAAUACGUUCCCGGGUCUUGUACACACCGCCCGUCACACCAUGGGAGUUGGAAAUGCCCGAAGUCAGUGACCCAACCGGAAACGGAGGGAGCUGCCGAAGGCAGGUCUGAUAACUGGGGUGAAGUCGUAACAAGGUACC